Molecule: ribosomal RNA, 648 nt
Filed under: Escherichia coli
Lineage: Bacteria; Pseudomonadati; Pseudomonadota; Gammaproteobacteria; Enterobacterales; Enterobacteriaceae
Description: partial 23S ribosomal RNA
Rfam family: Bacterial large subunit ribosomal RNA
Source: RNAcentral
CGCUUAGGCGUGUGACUGCGUACCUUUUGUAUAAUGGGUCAGCGACUUAUAUUCUGUAGCAAGGUUAACCGAAUAGGGGAGCCGAAGGGAAACCGAGUCUUAACUGGGCGUUAAGUUGCAGGGUAUAGACCCGAAACCCGGUGAUCUAGCCAUGGGCAGGUUGAAGGUUGGGUAACACUAACUGGAGGACCGAACCGACUAAUGUUGAAAAAUUAGCGGAUGACUUGUGGCUGGGGGUGAAAGGCCAAUCAAACCGGGAGAUAGCUGGUUCUCCCCGAAAGCUAUUUAGGUAGCGCCUCGUGAAUUCAUCUCCGGGGGUAGAGCACUGUUUCGGCAAGGGGGUCAUCCCGACUUACCAACCCGAUGCAAACUGCGAAUACCGGAGAAUGUUAUCACGGGAGACACACGGCGGGUGCUAACGUCCGUCGUGAAGAGGGAAACAACCCAGACCGCCAGCUAAGGUCCCAAAGUCAUGGUUAAGUGGGAAACGAUGUGGGAAGGCCCAGACAGCCAGGAUGUUGGCUUAGAAGCAGCCAUCAUUUAAAGAAAGCGUAAUAGCUCACUGGUCGAGUCGGCCUGCGCGGAAGAUGUAACGGGGCUAAACCAUGCACCGAAGCUGCGGCAGCGACGCUGAUGCGUUGUUGGGUA